Molecule: ribosomal RNA, 254 nt
Filed under: uncultured bacterium
Lineage: Bacteria
Description: partial 16S ribosomal RNA
Rfam family: Bacterial small subunit ribosomal RNA
Source: RNAcentral
UACAGGGGGUGCAAACGUUGCUCGGAAUCAUUGGGCGUAAAGCGCACGUAGGCGGUUCGUUAUGUCGGAUGUGAAAGCCCUUGGCUUAACCGAGGAAGUGCAUCCGAAACUGGCGAGCUAGAGUACGAAAGAGGAUCGCGGAAUUCCCGGUGUAGAGGUGAGAUUCGUAGAUAUCGGGGAGGAACACCGGUGGCGAAGGCGGCGAUCUGGGUCGAUACUGACGCUGAGGUGCGAAAGCGUGGGGAGCAAACAGG